This 1355-nucleotide long non-coding RNA is filed under the name Homo sapiens (human). RNAcentral describes it as "non-protein coding lnc-UBE2D3-2:1". The record is from RNAcentral. Lineage: Eukaryota; Metazoa; Chordata; Mammalia; Primates; Hominidae.
UCUGUAGGGAAUCCAGAAGGAGCGUUCAUGAAGGUAUUACAAGCCCGGAAGAAGCACACGAGCACUGAGCUGACUACUGAGCUGGAGGCGGCCUCAGACAGCAAUGGCAUCAACUUGUCAGGCUUUGGGAGUGAGCAGCUAGACAUCAAUGACGCACUAAAUUACGUCUUGCCUUAUUUCUCAUAGAAAAAUCUAUAAGAUGUAGAAUCAAUGUUGUAAACUGUCCAACCACAGGAAAACAGCCUGGCUAAGAUUCAAAGUGUAGGCAAAAGCCUGCAGAGAGUGAACAGAAUCCUCAUGGGCCCAAGGAGCAUCCAGAAAAGUCACUUCAAAGAGGUGGGAAAGCAGAGCAACAGGAAGGAACAGGGUGCCUGGGCAUUUGUGGAGAAUGCUGCCAAAGAAAAAAGGCUCAGGAGUCCAGCCCCAAGGGAGCUGGAACAGCCUCACAUAGAGCAGGGGCAUGAGAAGUUAGCAGGAAACGCCAUCUAUACCAAGCCUUCGUUCAACCAAGAGCAUAAGGCAGCAGUCUUCUCUUUGCUGAAACCCUUCUCCAUGGGCGUGCCUUCUAUCUCCACCCCUGCAAAAGCCCUACCUGUGGUCAGAAACAGAUUGAAAGACUUACCCAUUUUGGUUUUAGAAAAUGCAAAGUUGAGUUAAAACCAAUCGUACAUUCCAGAAAAGUUCUCUCAGUAGACUUUGCUUGCAAAGAGGCCUCCAUUCUCUGCAGUGAAAAGCCUCAUAAAUGCCCCUUCACAAGGGGCUUUUUCAUCUUUAGGAGACCUGAGUCUUCAGGAAAAUCCUUUUCCGGAAGUAUUUCUCCAUCAGAAUGUUUUAAAAGCACCACUGCAAGAAAUGCCUUUGAACAAAACAUUUUUAUGGAAAACACUACUAUGCCAGAAGGCACCAUCUCUGAAAACACAACCUACAACCAUCCUCCUGAGGGAGAUUCUGCUGAGACUGCGUUCAACUUAGAGAAGACUGUGAAACACAAUGGGAAUACAACAACAUGGGCACUGGCCUGUCUCCCGAGCCCAAAAGCUUCAAUUACCCAUUGCUCUCGUCCCCAGGUGAUCAGUUUGAAAUUCAGCUAAACCAGCAGCUACGGCCCCUCAUCCCCAAUAAUGAUGUGAGAAGACUCAUUUCUCAUGUUAUCUGGACCUUGAAGAUGGAGUGCUCUGAGACCCAUGUGCAAUUGGCCUAUACCAAGCUCAUCUCCAGGACAGGCCUCCUGAUUCAUCAGUGAGCAGCAAGAAGUAAAGAUGUCCAAGGCAGAAUGGGAUACAGACCAAUGGAAAACUGAGAACUAUAUCAAUGAGAGCACGGAAGCCCAGAGCAAACAGAAAGAGCAGAAGUCA